UUAACCAAAUGAGUUGGUGUGAAUAUUCAGCUUUCACUUCUGCACUUUCCCCAUGCUCAAGGGUAUAAAAGGAAGUGACGUAGGCUUCAUCCCAUCAAGCCAAUCUCCUCUUCAGGGUUCGUGAGCAACUAUUCUCCUUCUCCAGGAUGAGUGUGGAAACUGUCAUUCAUAAUGGUGGAUGCCACUGCAAGCGAGUCAGAUGGCAAAUAGAGGCCCCACCAAGUGUUGUUGGGUGCACCUGCAAUUGCUCCAACUGUUCGAUGAGAGGCACCACCCAUUUUGUUGUCCCAAACGACAAGUUCAAGCUCAUGGAAGAGUCCGAGCAGUUCCUGACCACCUACACCUUUGGCACGCAUUCAGCAAAGCACAUCUUCUGCAAGGUGUGCGGUAUUACCUCCUUUUACAAGCAAAGGGGGAACCCUGAUGGUGUUGCAGUGGUAAUUAACUGUGUUGAUCCUGGUACCCUGAAACAUUAUGAGAUCAAGCACUUUGAUGGGAAGGGGCUCCUCAAAAUAUAAAAUUAGGCGACUCAAAUGGUCUAUGGCUGCAGUAACUGUUUUAGGUAUCGGAAAACUGUAAUAAGUAGCGAAAGUGAUAUAGAUCUUAAUGUAACAUUGUAACUGAAUCAUGGAUUUUUGUAGAUUGUACUUUAUUUGUUUCUAUAUACCUAUGAAUGUAAAAUUUAUUUAGUUUUGGCUCUUCUAUGAUUCUAUCA
Non-coding RNA from Phoenix dactylifera (date palm), 715 nucleotides. The record is from RefSeq and is a predicted model, not a curated record. Lineage: Eukaryota; Viridiplantae; Streptophyta; Magnoliopsida; Arecales; Arecaceae.